GAAGGUGGCCUGUGAGGGUUGCUGGAGGUAUCAGAAGUGCGAAUGCUGACAUAAGUAACGAUAAAGCGGGUGAAAAGCCCGCUCGCCGGAAGACCAAGGGUUCCUGUCCAACGUUAAUCGGGGCAGGGUGAGUCGACCCCUAAGGCGAGGCCGAAAGGCGUAGUCGAUGGGAAACGGGUUAAUAUUCCCGUACUUGGUGUUACUGCGAAGGGGGGACGGAGAAGGCUAUGUUGGCCGGGCGACGGUUGUCCCGGUUUAAGCGUGUAGGUGUGUGUUCCAGGUAAAUCCGGUUCACUUUAACACUGAGGCGUGAUGACGAGGCACUACGGUGCUGAAGCAACAAAUGCCCUGCUUCCAGGAAAAGCCUCUAAGCAUCAGGUAACAUCAAAUCGUACCCCAAACCGACACAGGUGGUCAGGUAGAGAAUACCAAGGCGCUUGAGAGAACUCGGGUGAAGGAACUAGGCAAAAUGGUGCCGUAACUUCGGGAGAAGGCACGCUGACACGUAGGUGAAGUGAUUUACUCAUGGAGCUGAAGUCAGUCGAAGAUACCAGCUGGCUGCAACUGUUUAUUAAAAACACAGCACUGUGCAAACACGAAAGUGGACGUAUACGGUGUGACGCCUGCCCGGUGCCGGAAGGUUAAUUGAUGGGGUCAGCGCAAGCGAAGCUCCUGAUCGAAGCCCCGGUAAACGGCGGCCGUAACUAUAACGGUCCUAAGGUAGCGAAAUUCCUUGUCGGGUAAGUUCCGACCUGCACGAAUGGCGUAAUGAUGGCCAGGCUGUCUCCACCCGAGACUCAGUGAAAUUGAACUCGCUGUGAAGAUGCAGUGUACCCGCGGCAAGACGGAAAGACCCCGUGAACCUUUACUAUAGCUUGACACUGAACAUUGAGCCUUGAUGUGUAGGAUAGGUGGGAGGCUUUGAAGUGUGGACGCCAGUCUGCAUGGAGCCGACCUUGAAAUACCACCCUUUAAUGUUUGAUGUUCUAACGUGGACCCGUAAUCCGGGUUGCGGACAGUGUCUGGUGGGUAGUUUGACUGGGGCGGUCUCCUCCUAAAGAGUAACGGAGGAGCACGAAGGUUGGCUAAUCCUGGUCGGACAUCAGGAGGUUAGUGCAAUGGCAUAAGCCAGCUUGACUGCGAGCGUGACGGCGCGAGCAGGUGCGAAAGCAGGUCAUAGUGAUCCGGUGGUUCUGAAUGGAAGGGCCAUCGCUCAACGGAUAAAAGGUACUCCGGGGAUAACAGGCUGAUACCGCCCAAGAGUUCAUAUCGACGGCGGUGUUUGGCACCUCGAUGUCGGCUCAUCACAUCCUGGGGCUGAAGUAGGUCCCAAGGGUAUGGCUGUUCGCCAUUUAAAGUGGUACGCGAGCUGGGUUUAGAACGUCGUGAGACAGUUCGGUCCCUAUCUGCCGUGGGCGCUGGAGAACUGAGGGGGGCUGCUCCUAGUACGAGAGGACCGGAGUGGACGCAUCACUGGUGUUCGGGUUGUCAUGCCAAUGGCACUGCCCGGUAGCUAAAUGCGGAAGAGAUAAGUGCUGAAAGCAUCUAAGCACGAAACUUGCCCCGAGAUGAGUUCUCCCUGAGACUUAGAGUCUCCUGAAGGAACGUUGAAGACGACGACGUUGAUAGGCCGGGUGUGUAAGCGCAGCGAUGCGUUGAGCUAACCGGUACUAAUGAACCGUGAGGCUUAACCUUACAACGCCGAAG
Molecule: ribosomal RNA, 1707 nt
Filed under: Salmonella enterica subsp. enterica serovar Agona
Lineage: Bacteria; Pseudomonadati; Pseudomonadota; Gammaproteobacteria; Enterobacterales; Enterobacteriaceae
Also listed under: 1 other name
Description: bacterial LSU rRNA
Rfam family: Bacterial large subunit ribosomal RNA
Source: RNAcentral